CUUCUUUCAAAUAUAAAUAUGUAAGAGGAGGUGAUAAAACGAUUCAAAACUUCUAAACUGUUACCCCCAAACUUGAUAUACACCAGUCCACUUUCAAUCCCAGUGGACCUGCACAACCUGGAACAAAUAUUUUCUCACCCAUCAGGCACGUGUACACGGUUUCUACAAGUGCACCUGGCCAGGAAAUAAACAUAUACAGCGGAACCUCGGUUCUUGAACUUCUCACAUCUCAUACAAUUCGGUUCUCUACCAAAUUAUUUGGUAAAAAGAAAUGUCUCGGUUGUCGAAUUCAUUUUUGGUUCUUGACCAACCAGCCCUUUUGCGCUAGAACCUGUCUGACACGGCACGUUUAGGCACAAACAAAGGAGAGAACGUGUGCAGGAAAAAUUGAUUCAGUUCUCGAACAGCUUUCUGGAACAGAUGAAGUUUGAGAACCGAAGUCAGCCAUUCAAGCCCUGUUUACCGACUUACAUGGUUAGACCCUUUCAGUUGCAUGUUUCUAACUAUGUAACUUGCUAACGUUGUUAGCAGCUCUGCUUUUGGGAAACACGCUCCAGAGCCUGCCUGGGUACCGUGCUUCACUGGGAGUCUAUGAGAGCUUCGUACAUGGUUUUUUGCUUCGAUGAUGCAGAUUGGACAGGUAGAGCAGUCAGGUAUCUUUAACCCGCCUGGAAACCAGACUCCUCUGCAUGGUGAUUGGGAGACGUCUCAAAACGACAGCAAGCACCAAGAACACUGACAAGGGGCGCAGAAGCGAGUGACAGUUUAUCGUUCCGUAUGUCAGAUCUCACCAUCGGCAUUUGCAAACAUUCUAAAUAAAGUCGUUAUCAUUCAGUUUUU
Molecule: long non-coding RNA, 840 nt
Organism: Paramormyrops kingsleyae
Lineage: Eukaryota; Metazoa; Chordata; Actinopteri; Osteoglossiformes; Mormyridae
Source: RefSeq, a predicted model, not a curated record